Long non-coding RNA from Melitaea cinxia (Glanville fritillary), 252 nucleotides. RefSeq lists it as uncharacterized. The transcript has 2 exons. The record is from RefSeq and is a predicted model, not a curated record. NCBI's taxonomy places the organism in Eukaryota, Metazoa, Arthropoda, Insecta, Lepidoptera, Nymphalidae.
UGUAAUGUUGUUGAUGACUUCUACCACGUAUAUUGAUGGAAUGUGCAAGCAAUGACAUCAGAGAUAGAUGUUCUUUUAUUAAUAAGUUGGGAAAAUGUAAUAGUAUUCUGGCUGACCCACCCUAAGACUUGGUCCGAAUGUUAUAUAAGUUAGUGGAUAAGAGAACUUAAGUUAUGUAUAUGUAAUAAUUAAUCUAAGUCUCCUAACCAGGGCGACAUAAUCGCUCUUGCGAUAAAGCCCUUAAAUUUGAUU